UAAGUCUAGGCCUCCGUUAUGACC
RNAcentral lists this non-coding RNA (24 nucleotides) under Arabidopsis thaliana (thale cress). Lineage: Eukaryota; Viridiplantae; Streptophyta; Magnoliopsida; Brassicales; Brassicaceae. The record is from RNAcentral.